UUUGCCUACGGGAGGCAGCAGUGAGGAAUAUUGGUCAAUGGUCGGGAGACUGAACCAGCCAAGCCGCGUGAGGGAUGAAGGUACAGAGUAUCGUAAACCUCUUUUGUCAGGGAACAAAGGCGGGGACGCGUCCCCGGAUGAGUGUACCUGAAGAAAAAGCAUCGGCUAACUCCGUGCCAGCAGCCGCGGUAAUACGGAGGAUGCGAGCGUUAUCCGGAUUUAUUGGGUUUAAAGGGUGCGUAGGCGGACUGUUAAGUCAGCGGUAAAAGCCCGGGGCUCAACCCCGGCGAGCCGUUGAAACUGGC
This 305-nucleotide ribosomal RNA is filed under the name uncultured bacterium. RNAcentral describes it as "bacterial SSU rRNA". It matches the Rfam family "Bacterial small subunit ribosomal RNA", at positions 334 to 637 of the family's 1533-position model. The record is from RNAcentral.